RNAcentral lists this ribosomal RNA (440 nucleotides) under uncultured bacterium. Its description in RNAcentral is "partial 16S ribosomal RNA". It matches the Rfam family "Bacterial small subunit ribosomal RNA", at positions 338 to 795 of the family's 1533-position model. The record is from RNAcentral.
CCUACGAGGGGCAGCAGUGGGGAAUAUUGCACAAUGGGGGGAACCCUGAUGUAGCGACGCCGCGUGAGUGAAGAAGUAUUUCGGUAUGUAAAGCUCUAUCAGCAGGGAAGAAAAUGACGGUACCUGACUAAGAAGCCCCGGCUAACUACGUGCCAGCAGCCGCGGUAAUACGUAGGGGGCAAGCGUUAUCCGGAUUUACUGGGUGUAAAGGGAGCGCAGACGGCUGUGCAAGUCUGGAGUGAAAGGCGGGGGCCCAACCCCCGGACUGCUCUGGAAACUGUAAAGCUGGAGUGUAGGAGAGGUAAGCGGAAUUCCUAGUGUAGCGGUGAAAUGCGUAGAUAUUAGGAGGAACACCAGUGGCGAAGGCGGCUUACUGGACUGCAACUGACGUUGAGGCUCGAAAGCGUGGGGAGCAAACAGGAUUAGAUACCCCUGUAGUC